Non-coding RNA from Pelodiscus sinensis (Chinese soft-shelled turtle), 538 nucleotides. NCBI's taxonomy places the organism in Eukaryota, Metazoa, Chordata, Testudines, Trionychidae. The record is from RefSeq and is a predicted model, not a curated record.
UCGACUAAUUGAAUAGUUGAUGCAAAAUGCAUUGACUAUUCUGUUAGUCACAAUUUAACAUCCUUAGUUAGAGAUAGAAUUAGAACAUAGCAGUUCUCCUCUCCUGGCUCUGUGCUCAGGCCACAAAGCUGACUUGCUGAAAUGUAAAGGAAUCCAGGGACUUGUUUUUUAUUUGUAUAAUUUGAUUUAUUGGACAAGAUAAUAAUUCUCUUUGGCAUUAGAUUGUUGCUAAUACUUCCAUACAGCACUGUAUUGUGGCUCUGUACAAGACUGAGCAUCCCAAUGACAGCAGAGCGCUGAGUAUGUUAUGCAUAUAUGGGAGCCAAACAACACUAUUUGAGAAGCUAGCAUCCAGUUGAGUUGACCUACUACAGGAAGCCAGUUCACUUUGAUGGGUCUGUGUGUUUUGGAAGAAACCGAAAAGCACCAGUCUGGCUACUGGGGAAAUAUUAGCUUUAGGAGCAUGCAGAGCUUUAGCAGGAUUGAGAAAAAACGUGUCUAGAUUUUUUUGUUUUGUUUUGUUUUUUGUUUUUUUAAU